This 279-nucleotide ribosomal RNA is filed under the name uncultured bacterium. RNAcentral's name for it is "partial 16S ribosomal RNA". It matches the Rfam family "Bacterial small subunit ribosomal RNA", at positions 506 to 784 of the family's 1533-position model. The record is from RNAcentral.
UGCCAGCCGCCGCGGUAAUACGGAGGGGGUUAGCGUUGUUCGGAAUUACUGGGCGUAAAGGGCAUGUAGGCGGAUCGGCCAGUCAGAGGUGAAAGCCCUGGGCUCAACCCAGGAACUGCCUUUGAUACUGCCGAUCUAGAGUCCGGGAGAGGAUAGUGGAAUUCCCAGUGUAGAGGUGAAAUUCGUAGAUAUUGGGAAGAACACCAGUGGCGAAGGCGGCUAUCUGGACCGGUACUGACGCUAAGGUGCGAAAGCGUGGGGAGCAAACAGGAUUAGAUA